Long non-coding RNA from Homo sapiens (human), 839 nucleotides. Lineage: Eukaryota; Metazoa; Chordata; Mammalia; Primates; Hominidae. The record is from Ensembl.
AGGAGCCCAGCGAGGGUGCCUACAAGAGGAGUCAAAGGGCAAAGGUCCUGGGGUACUUAGCACCGUGGCAUAUCUGUAAUAAGCACAUGCACACCUCGAAGGAGGUCUUCACUUCAACAUACAAGUUGACCAUGGCAUGCUCUGGGCUCCAGUCCUCUACAAAGAUGUAGGGCAGGAACUACCAGUUGUCAGCACAGCACCAUCCCACAUUGCUCUUCUAAUGGAGACUUUCACCCCAGAUGUUCUUUCUCGUCUGAUGGGAAGGAUCCAAAUGAAAAAAUUGAGGCUCAAAGAAGUCCACCAAAUUGAGAGUGAAGUAGGGGAAACAGCAUUUAACGCUUACAUUCUAAUGAUUUGUGUAAGAGCAGCAGGACAAGCUAUACAAAGAAAAAGGUGGAAUUAUCAGGAUGGAAUUAAAGAUGCUUCCAAACAGAGGGGAUAUCUCAAGCCAUGACUCAGAGAGAUCCAAUCGAGUACCAGGUCCAGCGGUAAUCUAUUCGCAGAUGUAGUGGAACAAGUUCUCCCCACAUUAUUAAUGGUAUGGGAAUUAGGAGAAGGUCAUCUGACUCACAUGGAUCACCAUAUAAUUCCUUCUGGAGAACAGAAAAAAUGCAGAAGAGGAAAACCUCCAUAUGUGAAGCUAUGGCAAGGGAGUCUCCCCACCCCGCGCUCCAACAGAGUCUGGAGAUAAAGUAAGUUUGAGAAGCUAGAAAGUGUUUUUCCCCAUUAUCUCCCAAACACUGUCAUUUGGCUGCAUGCAGAUUUCACUCUGGCUUUGGCAAAUGUGUCCCUUUAUGUAACAAUAAACAAUUAUAUUGAAAAGCAAGAUUGGAGAAAAA